This is a non-coding RNA of Dissoconium aciculare CBS 342.82, 111 nucleotides long. Lineage: Eukaryota; Fungi; Ascomycota; Dothideomycetes; Mycosphaerellales; Dissoconiaceae. The record is from the annotation of a RefSeq genome assembly.
GGUCGGAUGGUCUAGUGGUAUGAUUCUCGCUUAGGGCACACCCUGAGUGCGGUCACUGGUUCCCAGUGAUCAAUUUGCGAGAGGUCCCGGGUUCAACUCCCGGUUCGACCC